UAAAAAUGCCAGAAAUUACAAAACUAUACAGAAACAACUGUUUGCAACACUCCUAACAUCAAAUUCAGCGCAAUGUUAAGCGGCUGCACUUUAACAGACGCUGAUCGAUCGGGACUGUUGUUCGAUACUGUGGCCACCCUAACGAUAACUCUGCCAUACCGACGCUUGUCCAUUUAAAAUCCCAACGUCGCGAACGAGCGAAAAAACAGAAGCGACGCGCACAAAUUUCGAAUGACGUGCAUCCAUGAAAAGAUACUAAGAUAAUUCGUUUUUAAAAGUAAAAAGUAUACAAAUAAACAGUUUAUGU
This is a long non-coding RNA of Drosophila arizonae, 307 nucleotides long. Lineage: Eukaryota; Metazoa; Arthropoda; Insecta; Diptera; Drosophilidae. The record is from RefSeq and is a predicted model, not a curated record.